CCUACGGGGGGCAGCAGUGGGGAAUAUUGCACAAUGGGGGAAACCCUGAUGCAGCAACGCCGCGUGAGCGAAGAAGGCCUUCGGGUCGUAAAGCUCUGUCCUAAGGGAAGAAGCAUGACGGUACCUUAGGAGGAAGCCCCGGCUAACUACGUGCCAGCAGCCGCGGUAAUACGUAGGGGGCGAGCGUUAUCCGGAAUCACUGGGCGUAAAGGGUGCGUAGGCGGCCCUUCAAGUCAGAGGUGAAAGGCUACGGCUCAACCGUAGUAAGCCUUUGAAACUGUAGGGGUUGGGUGCAGGAGAGGAGAUUGGAAUUCCCAGUGUAGCGGUGGAAUGCGUAGAUAUUGGGAGGAACACCAGUUGCGAAGGCGGCUCUCUGGAAUGUAACUGACGCUGAGGCACGAAAGCGUGGGGAGCGAACAGGAUUAGAUGCCCGAGUAGUC
This 440-nucleotide ribosomal RNA is filed under the name uncultured bacterium. Its description in RNAcentral is "bacterial SSU rRNA". It matches the Rfam family "Bacterial small subunit ribosomal RNA", at positions 338 to 795 of the family's 1533-position model. The record is from RNAcentral.